Molecule: ribosomal RNA, 169 nt
Filed under: Phortica picta
Lineage: Eukaryota; Metazoa; Arthropoda; Insecta; Diptera; Drosophilidae
Description: partial 28S ribosomal RNA
Source: RNAcentral
GAUUAANGCAUCGUAUAUAUGAUAAAUCUAUCAAUACUUUAUCAAAUCAAUAAGCAUUUAUUCUAUGUUAAAAUGCAAGCAUAAUAAUUUGAAUAAACUAAAGCUCAUGAUUUUUUGAUAAAUAUUAUAUUAUAUUAAUAGAUUACAAUGUCCUUAUAUGGAAAAAAUG